RNAcentral lists this ribosomal RNA (888 nucleotides) under Triticum aestivum (bread wheat). RNAcentral describes it as "partial small subunit ribosomal RNA". The record is from RNAcentral. Lineage: Eukaryota; Viridiplantae; Streptophyta; Magnoliopsida; Poales; Poaceae.
AUGGCCACCAACUCGAGGUCGAACUCCAGGGCGACCUUCUCCAGCGAGAUCCACGACAUCGGCACGGUGCAGAACUCCGCCACGCCCAGCAUGGUGUACUACACCGAGCGGUCCAUCGCCGACUACUUCCCUCCCCACCUCCUCAAGAAGGUGGUGUCGGAGGUGGUGUCCACGUUCCUGCUGGUGUUCGUGACGUGCGGGGCGGCGGCGAUCAGCGCCCACGACGUCACGCGCAUAUCGCAGCUCGGCCAGUCGGUCGCCGGCGGGCUCAUCGUCGUCGUCAUGAUCUACGCCGUCGGCCACAUCUCCGGCGCGCACAUGAACCCCGCCGUCACCCUCGCCUUCGCCAUAUUCCGCCAUUUCCCCUGGAUUCAGGUCCCGUUCUACUGGGCGGCGCAGUUCACGGGCGCGAUCUGCGCGUCCUUCGUGCUCAAGGCCGUGCUCCACCCCAUCACCGUGAUCGGCACCACCGAGCCGGUCGGGCCGCACUGGCACGCGCUGGUCAUCGAGGUCGUCGUCACCUUCAACAUGAUGUUCGUCACCCUCGCCGUCGCCACGGACACCAGAGCGGUGGGUGAGUUGGCUGGGUUGGCUGUCGGUUCCUCCGUUUGCAUUACCUCCAUCUUCGCAGGGGCGGUGUCAGGUGGAUCGAUGAACCCGGCGAGGACGCUGGGCCCGGCGCUGGCCAGCAACCGCUACCCCGGCCUCUGGCUCUACUUCCUCGGCCCCGUCCUCGGCACGCUCUCCGGGGCCUGGACCUACACCUACAUCCGCUUCGAGGACGCGCCCAAGGACGGCCCCCAGAAGCUCUCCUCCUUCAAGCUCCGCCGGCUGCAGAGCCAGUCCGUCGCCGCCGACGACGACGAGCUCGACCACAUCCCCGUCUGA